This 249-nucleotide ribosomal RNA is filed under the name uncultured Actinomycetales bacterium. RNAcentral's name for it is "partial 16S ribosomal RNA". It matches the Rfam family "Bacterial small subunit ribosomal RNA", at positions 84 to 334 of the family's 1533-position model. The record is from RNAcentral. Lineage: Bacteria; Bacillati; Actinomycetota; Actinomycetes; Actinomycetales.
GGGGUGCUCGAGUGGCGAACGGGUGAGUAACACGUGAGUAACCUGCCCUUGACUUUGGGAUAACUUCAGGAAACUGGGGCUAAUACCGGAUAGGAGCUCCUGCUGCAUGGUGGGGGUUGGGAAGUUUCGGCGGUUGGGGAUGGACUCGCGGCUUAUCAGCUUGUUGGUGGGGUAGUGGCUUACCAAGGCUUUGACGGGUAGCCGGCCUGAGAGGGUGACCGGCCACAUUGGGACUGAGAUACGGCCCAG